Molecule: non-coding RNA, 926 nt
Organism: Nicotiana tabacum (common tobacco)
Lineage: Eukaryota; Viridiplantae; Streptophyta; Magnoliopsida; Solanales; Solanaceae
Source: RefSeq, a predicted model, not a curated record
UUGAAAAAAAAUACUUUUCAAAAUAAGCUGAUUUUUGCAGCUUGACCAAACGGGCUAUUAGUCCAUACUGAUGAAAUAUGGAAUUGCUUUCCAAUUUCUCCUUUGUUCUUCCAGUUUUGACUUGGUCUGUGCUACAUUUCUGAGUUCUGUUGAAUUUUUCUUCACUGUCGCUUGCUUUGCCUGUUGUAUCCAUUUGUUAUUUGUUGCACCUCUUUGUUGGUAAUGGGUAUUUUGUGGAUAUCUCUUAUUUAUUGUUCUUUUGGAAUAUUUUUUCCACUGUGUACAUCUGCUUUUGACAUGCAUGUUUGGUUUCUUCAUGUAUAGGUUUAAACACGAUUUGGGCACAUUGAAUUAACAUCUGGAGCGAAAAUGACAUAAAAACAGACAAGAGCAUUGUUGCAGCCAAGGACCUCAAUCUAUUAUAUUAUAACUGCAGAUAGCAGAAAAAAGCAAGCACCUUAUGCUGGAGCUUUCUUUGGAAGAUGAACAACGCUAAUCGUAAUGUUUUGUCUGCUCAGAUACAAAGAAGACGUGUAUGAGCUCAAAGGAAAAACUUUAGUUAACGUUCUUCACGAAAUUGUGCGUGUUUGUUCAGAUUUGUUAUUACUGCUUUUCUUAUUAUGUUUCUUUACGCAACCCCAAGGAAUUGUUGGGGUUACUUUGGUGAGUAAUGAGAUUGCUCUAUUUUAAGAAAUUUUUAGGUUUGAGGAAUUUAUUAUUGAUGAACUACAAUUAAAGAAAAAUCGGAUGAGUGGGGUAAGACCAAAUGUGUAAGAAAUGAAAUGGAUUUUGAGUUGCACCACGCGUAAUUUAAAGUGUAAUAUGACUAGGUUGAUAUUUUGGGAAGUGUAACUCUUUAAAAUUAUAGUAAUGUGUAACUUAGUUGCAAGUAUUUUAUUUAAAGAUUUCGGAGGUUAAUUUGAUAA